GGGAGGAAAGGAAGGGCGUGUUAGUGGUGGUGCCUCGAGCUCCUCCGUUGUAGCACCAGAUAUUGCGUUCCUUGUUAAAGUGCAUGUUUUAAAUGGCAUAGGAGGCUGUAUGUGUGUUCGCUAUGGGACUGAAGGCAGUGUAUGUGUUUUAUAAGGUAUAGGAGGAAGACUAACAGCAAAACAAAAAUAAGGUAAAAGCCACAGCAUGCUGCUCCUAUAGAAAGUCAGGGUUAGGCCAGUGUAGAAGACUUCACUGGCUACGAGAGUGAUACAAAGACUGGGUUACUAUACUUACAAGCCUUCUGGAUGUACCUAGCUUUCCUGUAGUGUCCUUUUGGGUUCCUUAAUAAUAUGGUAAAUGCUAAGGCACUAUAUGACCUAAACAUCUGGUCUUUGCUAUAUAGAGAUGAAGUAGUGAUUGAUAAUUAAACGUCACUAAAUUGUACAAAGAGACACACUGAGAGAGGAAAAAAAGUCACGUACCUAAGUAUAUUUGCAUCAUAGUCUUAACUUGCUGAUAAUUAUAAAAGUUCCUACCUUAAAAUGACAUACGUUUAUACAAAUGUACUAACAAAGGAGAGCAUAGCGAUGGACAUUCAAUGAUCAACUCACCCACAACAGCAAGGAAGGAAAAGAGAGAGACACAUUAAACAUUCUGCCAAAACAAAGCACAGUCACAAAACAUCCACCAUCACUGAACCAAGACACUGAGAAAGGGAAUGAAGGGGAGGUGACGUGACACUUUGAGGACAACACCAUAUACACACACACACAUGGACCAAGGCAGCUCAGGGACAUCAUGAAUAACCAAAAGGAAAAGAGGGAAAAAAGGAAAAAGGAAA
This is a long non-coding RNA of Eriocheir sinensis (Chinese mitten crab), 842 nucleotides long. RefSeq lists it as uncharacterized. The record is from RefSeq and is a predicted model, not a curated record. NCBI's taxonomy places the organism in Eukaryota, Metazoa, Arthropoda, Malacostraca, Decapoda, Varunidae. The transcript is spliced from 2 exons.